GCAUAUCAAUAAGCGGAAGGAAAAGAAAGCCAAAAGGGAUUGCCCUAGUAACGGCGAGUGAAGCGGCAACACGCUCAAAUUUGAAAUCUGGCGCAAGCCCGAGUUGUAAUUUGUAGAGGAUGCUUCUGGGUAGCGACCGAUCUAAGUUCCCUUGGAACAGGACGUCAUAGAGGGUGAGAAUCCCGUAUGUGACCGGCCCGCACCCUUUACGUAGCUCCUUCGACGAGUCGAGUUGUUUGGGAAUGCAGCUCUAAAUGGGAGGUAAAUUUCUUCUAAAGCUAAAUACCGGCCAGAGACCGAUAGCGCACAAGUAGAGUGAUCGAAAGAUGAAAAGUACUUUGGAAAGAGAGUUAAAAAGCACGUGAAAUUGUUGAAAGGGAAGCGCCUGCAACCAGACUUCGCGGCAGUGUUCCGCCGGUCUUCUGACCGGUUCAUUCUCUGUCGCGAGGCCAUCAUCGUCUGGGCCCGCCGGAUAAGACCUUAGGAAUGUAGCUCACCUUCGGGGGAGUGUUAUAGCCUAGGGUGAUGCGGCGAGGCUCGGGCGAGGUCCGCGCUUCGGCAAGGAUGAUGGCGUAAUGGUUGUCGGCGGCCCGUCUUGAAACACGGACCAAGGAGUCUAACAUCUAUGCGAGUGUUCGGGUGUCAAACCCCUACGCGUAAUGAAAGUGAACGGAGGUGGGAACCGCAAGGUGCACCAUCGACCGAUCCUGAUGUCCUCGGAUGGAUUUGAGUAAGAGCAUAGCUGUUGGGACCCGAAAGAUGGUGAACUAUGCCUGAAUAGGGUGAAGCCAGAGGAAACUCUGGUGGAGGCUCGCAGCGGUUCUGACGUGCAAAUCGAUCGUCAAAUUUGGGUAUAGGGGCGAAAGACUAAUCGAACCCUCUAGUAGCUGGUUCCUGCCGAAG
This 903-nucleotide ribosomal RNA is filed under the name Septoria agrimoniicola. RNAcentral describes it as "LSU rRNA". It matches the Rfam family "Eukaryotic large subunit ribosomal RNA", at positions 38 to 966 of the family's 3401-position model. Lineage: Eukaryota; Fungi; Ascomycota; Dothideomycetes; Mycosphaerellales; Mycosphaerellaceae. The record is from RNAcentral.